GGAGCAGGAAGCAGUAACUGAAAUAUAUACAACAUUAAUUCACUAAUACAGACACAUGUAAGAUUAUAAGAGUAGCACCAAAUAUAUUUCAGUUUAAGCAAAUAUAAAAACUUUAUCUAUAUCAGUACCAAAUAUUAAUUCGAAGAUUAAAUGGCAGCUUCAGUUGAACCAAUAGUUGCAGGAGGAGCAGGAAGCAGUAACUGAAAUACAUA
This 212-nucleotide long non-coding RNA is filed under the name Gossypium barbadense (sea-island cotton). RNAcentral describes it as "long non-coding RNA (GBAR_LNC007167)". The record is from RNAcentral. Lineage: Eukaryota; Viridiplantae; Streptophyta; Magnoliopsida; Malvales; Malvaceae.